GAUGAAGAACGCAGCGAAAUGCGAUAAGUAAUGCGAAUUGCAGAAUUCAGUGAGUCAUCGAAUCUUUGAACGCACAUUGCGCCCUGUGGUAUUCCGCAGGGCAUGCUUGUUCGAGCGUCAUUUCAACCCUCAAGCUCUGCUUGGUGUUGGGCCCUGCCCGCUGCGGCCGGCCCUAAAGACAGUGGCGGUGCCGCCUGGCCCUGAGCGUAGUACAUCUCUCGCUCCAGUGCCCGGUGGUAGCCUGCCAGAACCCCAACUCUCGUGGUUGACCUCGGAUCAGGUAGGACUACCCGCUGAACUUAAGCAUAUCAAUAAGCGGAGGA
This 323-nucleotide unclassified non-coding RNA is filed under the name soil metagenome. RNAcentral describes it as "partial contains 5.8S ribosomal RNA, internal transcribed spacer 2, and large subunit ribosomal RNA". The stretch from base 1 to 120 matches the Rfam family "5.8S ribosomal RNA", at positions 35 to 154 of the family's 154-position model. The record is from RNAcentral.